RNAcentral lists this transfer RNA (72 nucleotides) under Polyangiaceae bacterium. RNAcentral describes it as "tRNA-Cys". It matches the Rfam family "tRNA". Rfam says of the family: Transfer RNA (tRNA) molecules are approximately 80 nucleotides in length. The record is from RNAcentral. Lineage: Bacteria; Pseudomonadati; Myxococcota; Polyangiales; Polyangiaceae.
GGCGUGGUAGCCAAGUGGUUAGGCAAUGGUUUGCAAAACCAUCACACGUGGGUUCGAAUCCCAUCCACGCCU